RNAcentral lists this long non-coding RNA (1250 nucleotides) under Homo sapiens (human). RNAcentral's name for it is "HSALNT0323166". The record is from RNAcentral. Lineage: Eukaryota; Metazoa; Chordata; Mammalia; Primates; Hominidae.
UCAAAGGAUCUUUUAUUAUGCCCUAGGGCUGACCAGCUUUAUUUUUCUGCUUGAAGCAUUUGCUUCUCUAUGAGACAAGGGAUCAGGCAGGGAAGAAGGGUUUUUAUUUUUCCUGCAAUGGCAGCUACUCCCUCCUCCAUGCCUUCAUCAGCAGAGGAGGUCCUCCUGUCUCUUAUCCUGUUCUCUUGAACAGCCACUGGAGAUCUAUGGAAAAGAGCUUAAAGGCCAUGUGAAGACACGGUGAGAAGACGGCCAUCUGAAAGUCAGGAGGAGUAUCCUCUUGAGAACUGAAUCAAGCUAGUACUUUGAUCUUGGACUUCCAGCCUCCAGAACUGCAGUGUUGGUCUGCAAGCUUCAAGAGCCAGUGACCCUGACUGCCAAGUGAUUUGCCGAAGGGAAUUAUGGUUUUGCAUUUGAUGGUUUCCAGGAACUGCUAAGAGUGAGAUCAUCCCUGAAGCAGUGACUGCCAGAGGAAGGCGAGAGACAUAUGGUGGCCUUACAGGAGAAGAACAUGUCUCAGAGAGCUCCUACUCCUCCAGUUUUGGCCCCAGAAUGAAACACAGGAAGAAGACCUGAAUUUGAUUUGCAUUUCAAAGUAGAACUGUCCCAGCUGACAUGAAGACUGAUGAAUAAGGAAUAAGUAUUUAUUGUUGUAUGUCACUGAUAUUUCUGUGGUCGAUUAUGUGUAGAAGAGCUGACUUGUACACUUACAUAAACUUGAAGAAGACUGAAUUUAGAAAUGGAGUUUCUGCAUAUGGUUAUGUCUGAGUAGCUCCAAGUGGAUCAUCCCUCCCACAGAUAACAACUCUAAACUCUGGACAAAAUAUAAAAAUAACAAUUUCCUGAAUAUCAAAGAGCAACCCAAAUCAUGCAGAUACUGGGUAUUAAGGCUGAAUUUGUCUACACAUCAAACAUGUACCUAGGAGGAAUAUUUGCUCUGUGCCAUCAGCAGUGUAGAAACUAGAAUAACCAGCUGCCGUAUUGUGAGCUGCAUUAUGAAGAGAACCAUGUGGCAAGACACUGAGGGAGAUCUCCAGCCAACAACAACUCAUAAGCAACUAAAUCUUGUGAUGAACCACUGGAGUCAUCUGGAAAGAGGAUCCUCUCACCUUCAAUCUUUGAAAUGGCUAGAGCUCUGAUGACAGUUGGAUUACAGCCUUAGGAGAAACAGAGAGCCGGGGAAAUUUGUGCCCAGGUUCCUUUCCCACAGACAUUGUCAGAUAAUAAAUAUCUCUGCGUUUUUAAGCUUC